GACGAACGCUGGCGGCGUGCUUAACACAUGCAAGUCGAACGGUACGGCCCUUCGGGGUACACGAGUGGCGAACGGGUGAGUAACACGUGGGUGAUCUGCCCUGCACUUCGGGAUAAGCCUGGGAAACUGGGUCUAAUACCGGAUCAGACGCCGGACUGCAUGGUCAGGGGUGGAACGCUUUUGCGGUGUGGGAUGGGCCCGCGGCCUAUCAGCUUGUUGGUGGGGUGAUGGCCUACCACGGCGACGACGAGUAGCCGGCCUGAGAGGGUGACCGGCCACACUGGGACUGAGAUACGGCCCAGACUCCGACGGGAGGCAGCAGUGGGGAAUAUUGCACAAUGGGCGCAAGCCUGAUGCAGCGACGCCGCGUGAGGGAUGACGGCCUUCGGGUUGUAAACCUCUUUCAGCAUCGACGAAGCGAAAGUGACGGUAGGUGCAGAAGAAGGACCGGCCAACUACGUGCCAGCCGCCGCCGUAA
Molecule: ribosomal RNA, 478 nt
Filed under: uncultured bacterium
Lineage: Bacteria
Description: partial 16S ribosomal RNA
Rfam family: Bacterial small subunit ribosomal RNA
Source: RNAcentral